Long non-coding RNA from Vollenhovia emeryi, 1220 nucleotides. RefSeq lists it as uncharacterized. The transcript is spliced from 3 exons. The record is from RefSeq and is a predicted model, not a curated record. Lineage: Eukaryota; Metazoa; Arthropoda; Insecta; Hymenoptera; Formicidae.
ACCUCAAUCGACCGUUCGGUUAGACUUGUUGCGCGCGGUCGCAACGUAUGUUGAACACGCGUUUCUCUCUGGAUAUAUUAUUUAAGAGCUUAAGAGGGAUAAUAACCAGUGCGGCAGACUCGACUUGCUAAUUGACUAAAAACUAUUGUGCGUUUGCCGUUGCACGCCUUGGCUCUCGAGCGAACUAUCACCGCAUACAGGCGACAGGCACCAUUCGCGUAAAUAACGAGCGGAAUGAACCGAGCGAAAGGCAAGUGUUCUGCAUUUACAACGGAUAGCCUUGCCGUGCCUAAAACGGAUAUUUAUCUCUAUUAAUAUCUUCAAUCAGCCUCAAGUUACACGUGUAUGUACCAGGCGUACGAGUAAUUUGCAACUUUGCCAGGUUUCUCUACUUUCCACUCCGGAGCGGAGCUGAUCAGCAGCGGCCCGCGUAAGGCUGAUGGCAGAGAACGAACUGUAAACGCUUAAAGGCCGAAUCAGACUAGCAACUGUCGACGCGGAUUGGAUUGGGAUUGACGACUGGCGAUUUUCUUCUAGUCAAUGAGAGUCGAUUACAUCGCUUGCUGCUUUGCUCUCAUUGGUUAGAGGGCAAUCAAUCGCAAUUAAUUGCCAGUCUGAUUUGGUCUUAAGACUCGGGACCGCUAAAGACACGCGUGCGACAAAGCGCACGGAUGAAGAGGGCGAAGGCACGAUCGCGCGGGAUUCCGGCUCGCAUUUUGCCCGCGAGAUCUUCGAAUAACCCUGCCGCUAGAAAGUGAAUCUCCGCCGUACUUUCAACGCCGUUCGGGACCGAAGCUUCGGGGGACGCUAUGACGCAUAGGUGCAGCGCAACUGGAGGAUGAGCUCACGAGAUGCCGCGGACCCUCCCGAGGCCGAAAUAGGAUUUUACGGCUGCCGCAGGUGCCGUCUAUUCCCAGUUCUAAAGCAAAUAGCGCGUCGCAUCCAUUACGGUCGACACCGCGGCGUACGAGGAUAAGAACGGAGAAUGAGACGCGCGCAAAGUGGGGAAAUUUUGAAUUCCGCCGGCAGUUCUUGUCCGCUUUCAUCUCCGUGCGUUCAACUUCUUUCUCUGAGAUGCACUAAAAAUAUAUCUUACUAACGCAGGUAGAUUUCUAGGUGUCGUAACGAAAGUUUGUCGUUAUUUUUCGUUAGAAGUCUGUUAGAAAAUUGUUUGUAGCCUGCAAAAUUUAUAGCAGCAACAUUCUAGUAAUACCUUCUGG